Molecule: ribosomal RNA, 173 nt
Filed under: uncultured bacterium
Lineage: Bacteria
Description: partial 16S ribosomal RNA
Rfam family: Bacterial small subunit ribosomal RNA
Source: RNAcentral
CCUACGGGAGGCAGCAGUGGGGGAUUUUCCGCAAUGGGCGAAAGCCUGACGGAGCAAUCUCGCGUGAGGGAUGACGGCCUAUGGGUUGUAAACCUCUUUUUUCAGGGAGGAACAAAAUGAUGUGUACCUGAAGAAUAAGCAUCGGCUAACUCCGUGCCAGCAGCCGCGGUAAU